UGGCUACCAGGGUCGUACCUGGAGAGUUUCCAGUACUCUACCAGUCUUGGUUGCGGGAGGGAGAAUCAAGCAGAGGCACACCCGUUCCAUUCCUAGCUUGGGCAGUGGCUAGCGAGUGGAAGGCCAUCUGCUACAAGU
RNAcentral lists this small nucleolar RNA (138 nucleotides) under Ornithorhynchus anatinus (platypus). Lineage: Eukaryota; Metazoa; Chordata; Mammalia; Monotremata; Ornithorhynchidae. The record is from RNAcentral.